AUGAUUUUGACUUUAAACAUGACUUUUACAGUGAAAUUGGUUGUUCAACUCAAUUUUUACAUAAAUGUAUCCAAACAUAAAUCACUUCACAUCCAACUUAUAAUUAUCAAAAUCAAUUCUACAAAGUCUACUCACUCAGAAUCAAUUCUCGUCACCGUAGAACCAAACACACACGGGAAUGUUUGGUUUCACGUUUGGAGCAC
Non-coding RNA from Vicia faba (fava bean), 203 nucleotides. Lineage: Eukaryota; Viridiplantae; Streptophyta; Magnoliopsida; Fabales; Fabaceae. The record is from the annotation of a GenBank genome assembly.